RNAcentral lists this ribosomal RNA (301 nucleotides) under uncultured bacterium. RNAcentral's name for it is "partial 16S ribosomal RNA". It matches the Rfam family "Bacterial small subunit ribosomal RNA", at positions 510 to 808 of the family's 1533-position model. The record is from RNAcentral.
CGUCGCCGCGGUAAUACGUAGGGUGCGAGCGUUAAUCGGAAUUACUGGGCGUAAAGCGUGCGCAGGCGGUUCGUUAAGACAGAUGUGAAAUCCCCGGGCUUAACCUGGGAAUUGCAUUUGUGACUGGCGAGCUAGAGUAUGGCAGAGGGGGGUAGAAUUCCACGUGUAGCAGUGAAAUGCGUAGAGAUGUGGAGGAAUACCGAUGGCGAAGGCAGCCCCCUGGGCCAAUACUGACGCUCAUGCACGAAAGCGUGGGGAGCAAACAGGAUUAGAUACCCGGGUAGUCCCUGUCUCUUAUACA